CGCCUAAAUUAUUCACAUAAACUAGGGCAAAACAUCAAACGAAAUCACUACUCGUUCUUCAUAAAUAUCGCAAAAUCUUUGCAUCAUUUAAUCACACAUCAAUACUCGCGACAAAAAAUAAGCAAUCUAAUCAUGCCGGUGCAUCCGAUUAAAAAGGGAGUAUCCAACACAUAACGUCGAAGAUAACAAAUCACUGUACAGUCUCAAUCCACAAUUUAUGGCGAUUUCG
This 229-nucleotide long non-coding RNA is filed under the name Daucus carota (carrot). RNAcentral describes it as "long non-coding RNA (DCAR_LNC002495)". The record is from RNAcentral. Lineage: Eukaryota; Viridiplantae; Streptophyta; Magnoliopsida; Apiales; Apiaceae.